RNAcentral lists this ribosomal RNA (318 nucleotides) under Triticum aestivum (bread wheat). Its description in RNAcentral is "partial small subunit ribosomal RNA". The record is from RNAcentral. Lineage: Eukaryota; Viridiplantae; Streptophyta; Magnoliopsida; Poales; Poaceae.
AUGGGCGAGCGGCAACAGGGGCUAAUGAGUUGUGUUCUGCUCUGUUCUCGUUCACAUGCAGGGUCAAGGAGGCGGGAUAUCCAUGUCGGCUUCAUCCAAGGUCAAGCUUACCACGACCACCCCACCACCAAGCAAAGCGAACAACCACAUCACGGUGCCAAGGUAUCCAACUCUUAUCCUCUUUCUUUUCUCUCUCCCGUCCUCUUUUUCAUUGAAGUAACCCCUCCUGUGUGGUGUGGCUGUCAUCCAUAUCUUCCUGUUUGCAAGUCUCUCGGUUCAGUAAUGCAUAGUAACUUGGAUGAUGGAAAUGAAAAUUGA